AGAGACUCUGCUCUCCUCGUUUGGAUUAAUUCUGAUAUAAUAACUGUUGGUUUAUUUAUCGGUGCAGCAGCAGAACAUUUUCCACAGACAGUUUUCCUGCCCGUUGGCUUGUUUUAACCAGUUUUCUGCCUCCAGCUGAUUCUACCAGCAGACACUGAAAGGACUCUGAUAGUUCGGUGUCUCAUGUUCACUGUGAGGAUCUUCUGAGUGAAGCCAACAGAAGGAAAACCUCAUCUGGAUGUGAAGAAGGAGACUGAAUGGACGACAUCCUCAGUGAACCACUUCCUGUUUAACUUUCACUUACAGAAGAGUGAAAGUAGCAGUUCCUCCUGAAGGUCAGAGAUUGCAGCAUCUGAGGGCCUUUUCAAAAGAAGAUGUAGUUGAUGAAGGCGUUCUGGAGCAGGACCAGAAAGACCA
Long non-coding RNA from Amphiprion ocellaris (clown anemonefish), 417 nucleotides. RefSeq lists it as uncharacterized. The record is from RefSeq and is a predicted model, not a curated record. The transcript has 3 exons. NCBI's taxonomy places the organism in Eukaryota, Metazoa, Chordata, Actinopteri, Pomacentridae.